Stegastes partitus (bicolor damselfish) is the source of this 2582-nucleotide long non-coding RNA. RefSeq lists it as uncharacterized. The transcript has 2 exons. NCBI's taxonomy places the organism in Eukaryota, Metazoa, Chordata, Actinopteri, Pomacentridae. The record is from RefSeq and is a predicted model, not a curated record.
GAAUGGAGUGGUGUGUUCAGCUGCUGGUGGCGUGGCCAACAGGAGGAAUCACCAUUGCAUGCAGGGAAUCUCUGUCCAAGGAUCAAGCCUUACAGUUCUACUAUCCCUGUUGGACUCAUGUUAACAAAAGCCCAGUGUUAGCAGGAGUUACCAGAGAGCAGAACGCUUUUAUUUCUGAACUCAACAAUUUAGUGGGAGCACCUGGAACAGACCUAUUCUAAAAAGCAAUGGUUUACAAAGGGGAAGGAAGUGCUGCACGGCUCUGACGGCUGAUCUGACAGCUGCAGGCAGGUGAAGAUGCCACACAAAAAAAUAAAUAAAUAAAAGCUCCAGGAGUUCUUCUUUUAUUUUUUUUAAACACUAUUAUUUAUUUUAUUAUAAAUUUUUUUUUAAAUGAUGACAGGGGGGAGAUGACAAAAGGCCCGAGGCUGGAACCGAACACAAGCUGCUGUGUAAAUAUGAAUUAUAUUCUUCAGUGUUAUUAGCUGUAGGUUGGCUUGUUUUACGUGUUCGUUUGUACUCUCUCCUGCUGAACAGUUUAAUGCCACAUAUUUGUUCUUUUAUUUGUUUCUUUCGCUAUUACGCAGCGUCUGCUAUCGCUGCAGAUGUCUCAGCCGCAAUUGUUGCUCAUCAUAACUUUGUUUUGUUUUCACUUGACGUUGUCACUCGGUCGUACUGUAAUUAUGUCAUUUUUUGUUUUUGUUUUUGUUUGUCAUUACUUUGCCUUUACAUGGUUUGAUCUGAAUAAAACAUAUGUGUAAAAAAAAAAAAAAUGCUCUGUUGGUGUGAAAUUUCUCCAAUUCUGGCUUGUGUGUGUGUGUGUGUGUGUGUGUGUGUGUGGGCGCCUUAAGAGAAACAUUAGUCACGUUCCUUUUUUCUUUUCUGACAUUUGAGACUUAAGUGAAAGUUCAGUACAUGAACUCACCUUCAUCAGGGGCAGUAAGCUAAGAAUUUGUAUUUUAAACUAUUUCACCGCCAUACACAUUUGUUUACUUCAUCUUAAUAAUGUAGUUUACUUCCUACUCCCACUCACUCGUAGUAUGACUUCCACCCCUGCGGUCUCCCCUUUGUCAACAGUUUGCAUUUCCAGGUUGCCGAGCAAGUGGGCGCAUAUUUGACACUUUGCAUGCAACAGCCGUGCACACGGUGGUAUCCUGCAAACAAUUGUCUACUUUUCAACAAAAUGACUCUUAGUGUAGAGAACUGUAGGAGCCCUCUGCUAUUUUACAUGUAUUUACGGAGACGCAAGGACACAUGAAGGUGAUUUUGAGUGAUUGAGAAAAGCGAGCGUGCUUGAUAUUACCGUAAGUGUACAGGAAGAGCACAUGGUGUGGGUGGGGGAUCGCCUCUUUUGGUCCUGUUCACCGGUACGACAGGAGGGAUGACACAGCUUGUUUUUUUUAGUUUUUCACAGUCAUCAUUACUGAAUGCAAAGAUUUUACCUAUUAGUUAUGUUUAAAAUCAAAACGUAGCCUCCAGCUCCUCUAUUAUCUGGUGAAUUCUUUCUCAUAAACCAACUUGGAUGAACAGAAUACUGAUAAAAGACAGUCGAUCCUGCAGUUAAAUGCGGGUGAACGGUGCAGGUGUUUGUUCCCUGGAGCUUAUCAUGUCUAAAAACCAGUGAUAACUUCAUUCCAAAAGGCACGAGUACCUAUUGACGAAAGCACUUUAUUUUCUGCUUUAGUCAUGAUUUAGUCUUUCCAAGUACGACAUGAACGUACAAUCGAUGUAUCUGACGAGGUGAUGGCUGUUACUGUUCGGUGAGUGAUCUGAUAAAACUGCUCAGAGGAGUAAUGGCUCAUAUUUAAUUUGUUAUCUGAGUGCGAUUUCGCCCACAGUUUCCUUCCUUUAUCGAGAAAGUGAAGUGUUGUUGCACCGGGUUAUUGGGUCUGAUCACAUGUAAAGUGUCCCCGCAGGACACAAUCUGCUAAUCUGUUGGAAUAAUCAUGUCUGAAGUCUUAGUAUAUUCCACAAAGCAAGAACAUGUCAGCAGUCUACUGACUAAAUUAUAGAUGAACUUGUGCAGCCACUCAUGAGGGCUGCUGGCGAGCAAAUAUUAAAAACUCCAUUAAAUACAAACAAAUUCCUGAUCCUGUUAUGAUCAAACACAGGUGAAAGCUUUACCACCACACAGUUAAGUUGCCACAGGUCGAUGUUUAGUGGAAACAAACUGUUGAAUGCCACCACACAGUAAUUUACGAGGGAGAGACCUGAGAUUCAGUCACGUCAACUCUUUUGCUGUCAUCCACCUAAAUAAACUAAAUAAAAGGAUAAAAAGCCAGGUCAACAAGGCUGAUUACACUGAAACAGAAAACCAAACAUCUGAGUCAAAGACACGGCACAGUUCUGCACAAAGAACGAGAGCGAUCAUGUUCACAGAAUCUGCCUUCUGUUCAUUUUCUACGAAGCAGCUCCUGAGUCAAAUCAGCAGCACUGUACCAACAGCUGAACAACUUUUAAAUACAGCGUACAUUAAAUGAUUUAAUUGUUGUUUUUGUCACUCUGCUCCUUAUAUAUGACAUCGAAUGUGGCUUAUAGUGCCAAAACUGAAAGGAUGUUGCUUCGUGGAGUUACGGCGGUGA